RNAcentral lists this ribosomal RNA (349 nucleotides) under uncultured bacterium. RNAcentral's name for it is "bacterial SSU rRNA". It matches the Rfam family "Bacterial small subunit ribosomal RNA", at positions 334 to 694 of the family's 1533-position model. The record is from RNAcentral.
UACUCCUACGGGAGGCAGCAGUUGGGAAUAUUGCACAAUGGGGGCAACCCUGAUGCAGCAAUGCCGCGUGAGUGAUGAAGGCCUUCGGGUCGUAAAGCUCUUUUAGCAGGGAAAAAGGGAAACUUGAUGGUACCUGCAGAAAAAGCACCGGCUAACUCCGUGCCAGCAGCCGCGGUAAUACGGAGGGUGCAAGCGUUGUUCGGAAUUAUUGGGCGUAAAGCGCAUGUAGGCGGCUACCUAAGUCUGAUGUGAAAGCCCGGAGCCUAACUCCGGAAGUGCAUUGGAUACUGGGUGGCUAGAGGACGAGAGAGGAAAGUGGAAUUCCUGGUGUAGAGGUGAAAUCCGUAGA